RNAcentral lists this ribosomal RNA (91 nucleotides) under Hucho hucho (huchen). The record is from RNAcentral. Lineage: Eukaryota; Metazoa; Chordata; Actinopteri; Salmoniformes; Salmonidae.
ACCAGCAGCAUACCACCCUGCAUCCCACUGCUGGCUUGCUUCUGAAGCUAAGCAGGGUUGGUCCUGGAUGGGAGACCAGAUGCUGCUGGAA